CAGUAGCCGCGGUAAUACGGAGGGUGCAAGCGUUAUCCGGAUUUAUUGGGUUUAAAGGGUCCGUAGGCGGACUUAUAAGUCAGUGGUGAAAGCCUGUCGCUUAACGAUAGAACUGCCAUUGAUACUGUAAGUCUUGAGUAUAUUUGAGGUAGCUGGAAUAAGUAGUGUAGCGGUGAAAUGCAUAGAUAUUACUUAGAACACCAAUUGCGAAGGCAGGUUACCAAGAUAUAACUGACGCUGAGGGACGAAAGCGUGGGUAGCGAACAGGAUUAGAUACCCCCGUAGUCCCUGUCUCUUAUAC
RNAcentral lists this ribosomal RNA (301 nucleotides) under uncultured bacterium. RNAcentral's name for it is "partial 16S ribosomal RNA". It matches the Rfam family "Bacterial small subunit ribosomal RNA", at positions 509 to 807 of the family's 1533-position model. The record is from RNAcentral.